CCUACGGGGGGCAGCAGUGGGGAAUCUUGCACAAUGGGCGCAAGCCUGAUGCAGCGACGCCGCGUGGGGGACGAAGGCCCUCGGGUUGUAAACCCCUUUCGGCAGGGAAGAAGCGCAAGUGACGGUACCUGCAGAAGAAGCUCCGGCUAACUACGUGCCAGCAGCCGCGGUAAGACGUAGGGAGCGAGCGUUGUCCGGAUUCAUUGGGCGUAAAGCGCGCGUAGGCGGUUUGGCAAGUCGGAUGUGAAAUCCCGAGGCUCAACCUCGUGACUGCAUCCGAUACUGCCCGACUAGAGGUAGGUAGGGGAGAUCGGAAUUCCUGGUGUAGCGGUGAAAUGCGCAGAUAUCAGGAGGAACACCGGUGGCGAAGGCGGAUCUCUGGGCCUUACCUGACGCUCAGGCGCGAAAGCUAGGGGAGCAAACAGGAUUAGAUACCCUA
Molecule: ribosomal RNA, 439 nt
Filed under: uncultured Kitasatospora sp.
Lineage: Bacteria; Bacillati; Actinomycetota; Actinomycetes; Kitasatosporales; Streptomycetaceae
Description: bacterial SSU rRNA
Rfam family: Bacterial small subunit ribosomal RNA
Source: RNAcentral